GGACUACAGGGGUAUCUAAUCCUGUUUGCUCCCCACGCUUUCGUGCCUGAACGUCGGUACUGGACCAGGAAGCCGCUUUCGCCACUGGUGUUCCUUCAGAUAUCUACGCAUUUCACCGCUACACCUGAAAUUCCGCUUCCCUCUUCCGUACCCUAGCUAUCCAGUAUCGAAUGCAAUUCCCAGGUUGAGCCCGGGGCUUUCACACCCGACUUACAUAACCGUCUACGCACGCUUUACGCCCAGUAAUUCCGAUUAACGCUUGCACCCUCUGUAUUACCGCGGCUGCUGGCAC
RNAcentral lists this ribosomal RNA (292 nucleotides) under uncultured bacterium. Its description in RNAcentral is "partial 16S ribosomal RNA". The record is from RNAcentral.